UGGGGAAUAUUGCACAAUGGGCGAAAGCCUGAUGCAGCAACGCCGCGUGAGUGAUGAAGGCCUUCGGGUUGUAAAGCUCUGUCUUCUGGGACGAUAAUGACGGUACCAGAGGAGGAAGCCACGGCUAACUACGUGCCAGCAGCCGCGGUAAUACGUAGGUGGCAAGCGUUGUCCGGAUUUACUGGGCGUAAAGGAUGCGUAGGCGGAUACUUAAGACAGAUGUGAAAAUCCCGGGCUUAACUUGGGAACUGCAUUUGAAACUGGGUAUCUAGAGUGCGGGAGAGGAAAGUGGAAUUCCUAGUGUAGCGGUGAAAGGCGUAGAGAUUAGGAAGAACACCGGUGGCGAAGGCGACUUUCUGGACCGUAACUGACGCUGAGGCAUGAAAGCGUGGGG
RNAcentral lists this ribosomal RNA (394 nucleotides) under uncultured bacterium. RNAcentral describes it as "bacterial SSU rRNA". It matches the Rfam family "Bacterial small subunit ribosomal RNA", at positions 355 to 766 of the family's 1533-position model. The record is from RNAcentral.